RNAcentral lists this long non-coding RNA (259 nucleotides) under Parus major (Great Tit). RNAcentral describes it as "lncRNA (ENSPMJG00000013122.1)". The record is from RNAcentral. Lineage: Eukaryota; Metazoa; Chordata; Aves; Passeriformes; Paridae.
CUGGUUUGGAUUCUGUGCAGGAGCUGCUGGGUUUUUUGCUGCCUGCAGUUCCUGUGUCUCCUUGGCUGCAUCUCCUGUCUUGAGGCAUUUCUUACAUGUAGCAAAGCAGUGACCAUCUGCCCCGAUAAUCUCUGCAUCUGUUUCAGCUGCUACACCUGUGAUAUUUCAAGACUUCCCUUGCCAGCAGGUAAGUUCUCUUUUUUUCAGUUAUGUCUUGAUGUGACAGCAGUUAGCUUUUAAGGGCUUGCUUACAAUAUAG